GAUGAACGCUGGCGGUAUGCUUAACACAUGCAAGUCGAACGGUCUUUUAGGAGACAGUGGCGGACGGGUGAGUAACGCGUAAGAAUCUACCCUCAGGUCGGGGACAACCACUGGAAACGGUGGCUAAUACCGGAUGUGCCGAGAGGUGAAAGGCUUGCUGCCUGGGGAAGAGCUUGCGUCUGAUUAGCUAGUUGGUAGUGUAAGAGACUACCAAGGCGACGAUCAGUAGCUGGUCUGAGAGGAUGAUCAGCCACACUGGGACUGAGACACGGCCCAGACUCCUACGGGAGGCAGCAGUGGGGAAUUUUCCGCAAUGGGCGAAAGCCUGACGGAGCAAUACCGCGUGAGGGAGGAAGGCUCUUGGGUUGUAAACCUCUUUUCUCAGGGAAGAAAAAAAUGACGGUACCUGAGGAAUAAGCAUCGGCUAACUCCGUGCCAGCAGCCGCGGUAAUACGGAGGAUGCAAGCGUUAUCCGGAAUGAUUGGGCGUAAAGGGUCCGCAGGUGGCAUUGAAAGUCUGCUGUUAAAGAGUCUAGCUCAACUAGAUAAAAGCAGUGGAAACUACAAAGCUAGAGUUUGGUCGGGGCAGAAGGAAUUCCUGGUGUAGCGGUGAAAUGCGUAGAUAUCAGGAAGAACACCAGUGGCGAAGGCGUUCUGCUAGGCCGAGACUGACACUGAGGGACGAAAGCUAGGGGAGCGAAUGGGAUUAGAUACCCCAGUAGUCCUAGCCGUAAACGAUGGAUACUAGGCGUAGCUCGUAUCGACCCGAGCUGUGCCGGAGCUAACGCGUUAAGUAUCCCGCCUGGGGAGUACGCAGGCAACUGUGAAACUCAAAGGAAUUGACGGGGGCCCGCACAAGCGGUGGAGUAUGUGGUUUAAUUCGAUGCAACGCGAAGAACCUUACCAAGGCUUGACAUGUCACGAAUCCUGUGGAAACAUAGGAGUGCCUUCGGGAGCGUGAACACAGGUGGUGCAUGGCUGUCGUCAGCUCGUGUCGUGAGAUGUUGGGUUAAGUCCCGCAACGAGCGCAACCCUCGUUUUUAGUUGCCAGCAUUAAGUUGGGCACUCUAGAGAGACUGCCGGUGACAAACCGGAGGAAGGUGGGGAUGACGUCAAGUCAGCAUGCCCCUUACGUCUUGGGCUACACACGUACUACAAUGCUACGGACAAAGGGCAGCUACACAGCGAUGUGAUGCGAAUCUCGUAAACCGUAGCUCAGUUCAGAUCGAAGGCUGCAACUCGCCUUCGUGAAGGAGGAAUCGCUAGUAAUUGCAGGUCAGCAUACUGCAGUGAAUUCGUUCCCGGGCCUUGUACACACCGCCCGUCACACCAUGGAAGUUGGUCACGCCCGAAGUCGUUACCCCAACCGCAAGGGGGGGGAUGCCUAAGGUAGGACUGAUGACUGGGGUGAA
This 1411-nucleotide ribosomal RNA is filed under the name Dolichospermum planctonicum. Its description in RNAcentral is "bacterial SSU rRNA". It matches the Rfam family "Bacterial small subunit ribosomal RNA". The record is from RNAcentral. Lineage: Bacteria; Bacillati; Cyanobacteriota; Cyanophyceae; Nostocales; Aphanizomenonaceae.